RNAcentral lists this unclassified non-coding RNA (310 nucleotides) under Basidiomycota sp. RNAcentral's name for it is "partial contains small subunit ribosomal RNA, internal transcribed spacer 1, and 5.8S ribosomal RNA". The stretch from base 1 to 47 matches the Rfam family "Eukaryotic small subunit ribosomal RNA", at positions 1785 to 1831 of the family's 1831-position model. Lineage: Eukaryota; Fungi; Basidiomycota. The record is from RNAcentral.
AAAGUCGUAACAAGGUUUCCGUAGGUGAACCUGCGGAAGGAUCAUUAUUGAAGUUGAUUCGGGUUGUCGCUGGCUCUCAGGAGCAUGUGCACGCUCGUUCAUAUUCAUUCUCUCUUGUGCACCUUUAGCUAGACUAUGAAUACCUCUCGAGUGAAAAUCUCGGAUUGAGGGCUGCGCUUGACCGUGCUUCCCUUGCAUUUUCAUGGUCUAUGUCUUCAUAUAACCCUUUGUAUGUCUUUGAAUGUCUUUUUUGUGGGUCUUUGACCUAUAAAAUCUAGUACAACUUUCAACAACGGAUCUCUUGGCUCUC